UGAGUAAGCCAGAUAGCCGCGUAUUUAUACGAGGAAAGUCCGGGCUCCAUAGGGCAAGGGUGCUGGAUAAUACCCAGUGGGGGCGACCCCAAGGACAGUGCAACAGAAAUAAACCGCCUGGCUUUAGCUAGGUAAGGAUGGAAAGGUAAGGUAAGGGCUUACCGGCUUUUUGGCGACAAAAAGCGCUAUGUAAACCCCACCCGGUGCAAGGCUAAUAAAACCGUUAAGGCUGCCCGCCGUGGUUUGUGAAUGCCGCGUGAGUUUAUUGGCAACAAUAAACCAAGAUAGAUGGCUAUCGAAUACAGAACCCGGCUUAUAGGCUUGCUCAAAUU
This 332-nucleotide RNase P RNA is filed under the name Clostridiales bacterium. RNAcentral describes it as "RNase P RNA component class A". It matches the Rfam family "Bacterial RNase P class A". From Rfam's summary of the family: Ribonuclease P (RNase P) is a ubiquitous endoribonuclease, found in archaea, bacteria and eukarya as well as chloroplasts and mitochondria. Its best characterised activity is the generation of mature 5'-ends of tRNAs by cleaving the 5'-leader elements of precursor-tRNAs. The record is from RNAcentral. Lineage: Bacteria; Bacillati; Bacillota; Clostridia; Eubacteriales.